RNAcentral lists this ribosomal RNA (253 nucleotides) under uncultured Acinetobacter sp. RNAcentral describes it as "partial 16S ribosomal RNA". It matches the Rfam family "Bacterial small subunit ribosomal RNA", at positions 524 to 776 of the family's 1533-position model. Lineage: Bacteria; Pseudomonadati; Pseudomonadota; Gammaproteobacteria; Moraxellales; Moraxellaceae. The record is from RNAcentral.
UACAGAGGGUGCGAGCGUUAAUCGGAUUUACUGGGCGUAAAGCGUACGUAAGCGGCUUUUUAAGUCGGAUGUGAAAUCCCUGAGCUUAACUUAGGAAUUGCAUUCGAUACUGGGAAGCUAGAGUAUGGGAGAGGAUGGUAGAAUUCCAGGUGUAGCGGUGAAAUGCGUAGAGAUCUGGAGGAAUACCGAUGGCGAAGGCAGCCAUCUGGCCUAAUACUGACACUGAGGCACGAAAGCAUGGGGAGCAAACAGG